GCCACAUGAUGUGAUGUAGAUUGCAUUAGCAUUGCUGCAAAGAUGACCGUUUAUCUAUCACCCAUGACUGAUGGCU
Danio rerio (zebrafish) is the source of this 76-nucleotide small nucleolar RNA. Its record names the gene SNORD83. It matches the Rfam family "Small nucleolar RNA SNORD83". From Rfam's summary of the family: U83 (SNORD83) and U84 (SNORD84) are members of the C/D class of snoRNA which contain the C (UGAUGA) and D (CUGA) box motifs. They act as guanine methylation guides but lack complementarity to ribosomal RNA. Lineage: Eukaryota; Metazoa; Chordata; Actinopteri; Cypriniformes; Danionidae. The record is from Ensembl.